Sander lucioperca (pikeperch) is the source of this 76-nucleotide long non-coding RNA. RefSeq lists it as uncharacterized. The transcript is spliced from 4 exons. Lineage: Eukaryota; Metazoa; Chordata; Actinopteri; Perciformes; Percidae. The record is from RefSeq and is a predicted model, not a curated record.
AAGUUUAUUUAAUAUAGUACCUUUUACAGAACAGUCUCAAAGUGCUUCACACGAUAGACACUUGGUAAAAUACAGU